This 742-nucleotide long non-coding RNA is filed under the name Homo sapiens (human). Its description in RNAcentral is "non-protein coding LINC01284:3". Lineage: Eukaryota; Metazoa; Chordata; Mammalia; Primates; Hominidae. The record is from RNAcentral.
CGUGCAGGUCCGUUACAUAGGUAUACAUGUGCCAUGGUGGUUUGCUGAACCCAUCAACCCGUCAUCUUCAAAGAUAAGGCCUUCAGUAUAUCAAGAUCAGUGGAUCAAAGAAACAUCCUCAAGAAACUAAGAAACAACACAAGAUUCUCUCUGAUGAAAUGCUUAAGUAUAAGGAAAAUGAUGGAAGACACAGAAGAGCAGCAGAAUUGGGUAGAAGACUACUACAGAUGCCAGAUCGCCACUUCUGAAAGAAAGGCUUACGACAACUGGCUCUGUGUUUAAGCCUCGCAGAGGGAGAUGCAAGAGAAGAAGGCUGCCUACAAGCAGCACAGAUAGGAAAUGAUUGAAAAACAGAGAGUGCUGGAGAGACACAUUAGUCAGGAGCCAGCUAGUGGACAACCAGGCAUAGAGAAUCAUCCCCAAAGAGGUCAAUAUGGCUUUGGGAGGGCCCCUUUUUCAGGAUUGCCCUACUUGCUCUACUGCAUGGCUGGCUCUUCAGGACCAUUUGUGGGCUGCCAGACACCUCCUCUGCCUGGGUGGCCUCUGGGAACACGACCACUGCCUCCAUGCACACCACUUGGACAAGCUGAAAUUUGAAGAGGCCCCUGAGCUGUGACAGCCAUGCUGUGGCUCCUACAUAACUUGGAAAAGUAUCCAAUACAUUUUACGCUGCCUGCCCAGUGCUGCCUCAUCUGUCUCUAAUCUUCUGUAGUGUUUCCCCUAAUAAAGGUUUGCAGUCCUA